UAGGGAGCUUACAUCAUUUACCUCCUCUCACC
This 32-nucleotide non-coding RNA is filed under the name Mus musculus (house mouse). Lineage: Eukaryota; Metazoa; Chordata; Mammalia; Rodentia; Muridae. The record is from RNAcentral.